Molecule: ribosomal RNA, 785 nt
Filed under: uncultured bacterium
Lineage: Bacteria
Description: bacterial SSU rRNA
Rfam family: Bacterial small subunit ribosomal RNA
Source: RNAcentral
UCGAACGCGAAAGCCCCGCAAGGGGUAAGUAGAGUGGCAAACGGGUGAGUAACGCGUGGGUGACCUGCCGUCGAGAGGGGGAUAACGUUCCGAAAGGGACGCUAAUACCGCAUGACAUUCUCUCUUUGAACAGAGGGUAAUCAAAGUCUGGGACCGCAAGGCCAGGCGCUCGAUGAGGGGCCCGCGUCCGAUUAGCUAGUUGGUGGGGUAAUGGCCCACCAAGGCGACGAUCGGUAUCCGGCCUAAGAGGGCGGACGGACACACUGGGACUGAGACACGGCCCAGACUCCUACGGGAGGCAGCAGUGGGGAAUUGUUCGCAAUGGGCGCAAGCCUGACGACGCAACGCCGCGUGGAGGACGAAGAUCUUCGGGUCGUAAACUCCUGUCGAGUGGGAAGAACGAUUCGCGGGUGAACAAUCCGCGGAAGUGACGGUACCACUAAAGGAAGCCCCGGCUAACUCCGUGCCAGCAGCCGCGGUAAUACGGGGGGGGCAAGCGUUGUUCGGAAUUACUGGGCGUAAAGGGCUUGUAGGCGGCCAACUAAGUCAGACGUGAAAUCCCUCGGCUUAACCGGGGAACUGCGUCUGAUACUGGAUGGCUUGAAUCCGGGAGAGGGAUGCGGAAUUCCAGGUGUAGCGGUGAAAUGCGUAGAUAUCUGGAGGAACACCGGUGGCGAAGGCGGCAUCCUGGACCGGCAUUGACGCUGAAAAGCGAAAGCCAGGGGAGCAAACGGGAUUAGAUACCCCGGUAGUCCUGGCCCUAACGAUGAAUGCUUGGUGUGGCG